CCAAAAAAAAACAAGCCCGAGGCGUUCUUUAAAAAAUUACGUUUUUACGCCUGGCGUUUUGCGUGUCGGUGUGUACACUUACAUUGGCGCCCUUUGUUUAGUCACGGCGCGUUAAAUGUCGGCGAUAUUCGCGCGCGAUAUUCGUCCCGGUGUGAACAGGCCUUAACGUUACUACCUGGCCAUGUACCCUGCCCUCUUCGUACAGGUUGUCAUGAUGUCAUUACAGAAGGCAGCUGAAGAACAACUUGGGACACCUUCUGAAAACAGAGACAGUGACUCACACACACACACACAGACACUAAAUAUAUAAUUAAUAUAAAUCAAUAUGUUCUUGUUACUGUUUCCCAUUAUUUG
Labeo rohita (rohu) is the source of this 354-nucleotide long non-coding RNA. RefSeq lists it as uncharacterized. NCBI's taxonomy places the organism in Eukaryota, Metazoa, Chordata, Actinopteri, Cypriniformes, Cyprinidae. The transcript has 3 exons. The record is from RefSeq and is a predicted model, not a curated record.